AGAGGAGAGGCGGACGCGAGACGGGACUAGCGCCACUCCAUUCCACUUCCCUCCCUCGCUUGCCUUCCUUCCUAUCAUAGCAUUCCUAGAUAGACAGAUAGAAACCCCCGAUUCUGAUCGCCGGGAUGAGGUUCUGACCCCCGAUUCGGUCCGUCGAUUGUGAUUUCCCCUCGAUUUGGUGCGGGAUUAGCGGCCGGAAUUAAUCGCCAUGACGGCGGCGUCGCCGAUGGUGCUGUCCCUCCUGCUCUUCGCCUCGCUCACGGCGCUGCUCGUCCUGGCCCCUCGCGCGUCGUCGCCGCCGCUGCCGCUGCCGCUGCCCGUGGUGGUUGGGGACGAGGAGGCGCCGGCCGCCGCUGGGGGUGCUGCUGCGGGGAGCAGCGGCGGGGGGGCGGGAGUUGAGGAGGGACCGGAGGACCUCGCGCUGUCCCGGCGCGUCACGCUCGACGCCGGCGAGGGUGCGGCGGUAGCGUCCAAGGUGGCCUUCAUGUUCCUGACCAACUCCGACCUCACCUUCGCGCCGCUUUGGGAGCGCUUCUUCGCGGGGCACGCCCACCAGUUCAACGUCUACGUGCACGCAGACCCGGCGGUGAGGCUGCGGCACCCCCCUACGCCUUCCUUCCGGGGCCGCUUCGUCGCGGCCAAGCCGACGCGGCGCGGGGACCCGAGCCUCAUCGCUGCGGCGCGGCGGCUGCUUGUCGCCGCGCUACUGGACGACCCGGCCAACGCCUACUUCGCACUGCUCUCGCAGCACUGCGUCCCGCUCCACUCCUUCCCGCGGCUCUACGCGGCGCUCUUCCCGCCCAAGGCCGCGCACCACCACCGCCUCCCUAGCUAUAUCGAGGUGCUUACCGGCGAGCCCCAGAUGCCCGCGCGCUACGUGGCGCGGGGUGACGACGCCAUGCUCCCGGAGGUGCCCUUCGACCGGUUCCGCAUCGGCUCCCAGUUCUUCACGCUGGCCCGCCGCCACGCCGUGCUAGUCGUCCGCGAGCGCCGUCUCUGGCGAAAGUUUAGGGAGCCGUGCCUGCAGGAGUCGCAGGACUCUUGCUACCCGGAGGAGCACUAUUUCCCGACGCUUCUCGACAUGGCCGACCCCGCCGGCUGCACCCGGUACACGCUCACGCGCGUCAACUGGACCGACAGCUUCGAGGGCCACCCGCACACGUAUGCCGCGCCCGAGGUGUCGCCGCGGCUCGUCGCCGAGCUGCGCCAGUCCAACAGCUCCACCUAUGAGCACAUGUUCGCGCGCAAGUUCGCGCCCGACUGCCUUGGCCCGCUCAUGGCCAUCGCCGACACCGUCAUCUUCAAAGAUUGAUCGAUGCGGUGCUCUGCAUCAUAGCUACACGUAGGAGGAAAAACUAGACUCAACGUGCAGGGACAUCAAAGAGCCAGAUCAAGCACACAUACAUGCGUAAAUCAGCCCUAAACCUAUGCAUGACGUGGCCCGCCUCGGCGGCGUUUAACUCGACCUGGGGUACGUUCCGCUACCCUGGUGGUGGCGUCGGAGGAGCAGAAGGCGGAGGCGGCCUACUAAGCCGGCGGGCGCAUGCGGAGGAGGUGCGGCGCCGGCGGGCGUUGCUGACGCCGGAGCAGCGCCGCGAAGCCGCGUACGCCUUCGACUUGUCAUACUGGGCUCAAUGGUUCGCCUUCGAGCACGAGGAGGCGAGGCGACGCGGCGUCCGCGAAGUCGACCGCAGCGUGCUGCCGCCCCUGCUCGUCGCCCGCGAGGAGGAUCAGGAGGCGGAGGCCGCCUACCAGGCGGCAGUUGCGGCUGUCUUCCGGGAGAGCGAGGAGGACGAACGGCGCAGGGUGGUGGGUGGCGGCGAACGAGGAAGAGGAGGCGGCAUACCUCGAACCGUGGCGCCAACAACGGCUGGCCGAGGAGCGCCGCGACGGCACAGGCCCCCGCGAUAGCACAGCCGGCGGCCGACAUCGCCGCCGCUUGGAACACGGCAUUCCCUGAGGCCGGCCCUGCGUCGACGCUCAUCGACAUCACGUACUGCCGCCGCUUAGGGCAGCGCGCCGCCUCGUAGUUUAGUUCGUUUUUAAUUUUUGUUAAUGCAAACGUGGAUGUGUGGACUCUCACCGGCCUUUGUGGCCGACUUUUAAUGUUUACUUAAUGUCUGUUUUUAUUUGCGAAAUGCCUGUAUUUUUUUGUGUCGUCAUAAUGGAUCAGGCCAGUGUUGGGUGCAA
Triticum dicoccoides is the source of this 2190-nucleotide RNA transcript. It is a transcript of the gene named glycosyltransferase BC10-like, with no coding region annotated. The record is from RefSeq and is a predicted model, not a curated record. NCBI's taxonomy places the organism in Eukaryota, Viridiplantae, Streptophyta, Magnoliopsida, Poales, Poaceae. The transcript is spliced from 3 exons.